Non-coding RNA from Nicotiana tabacum (common tobacco), 1212 nucleotides. The record is from RefSeq and is a predicted model, not a curated record. NCBI's taxonomy places the organism in Eukaryota, Viridiplantae, Streptophyta, Magnoliopsida, Solanales, Solanaceae.
CCUCAAUUUUGAUUUAAUCUUUUUCUGCUUCUUUUCAAAAAAUUGUCGGUGUUACGCUGAAAAUAAUUGUUGUUGUUAUUAUUCAUUUUAACUUUCUCUUCUAUAUCCUUGUUCAUCCCAUAUAUUCUAAAGAAAAGUGAAUUAGUGAAGGUCUUAUUUUGGGCAAAAUAGUUUCUAGCUCUUGUGCAAUUUCUCGAAUUUCAGACUGCUUUGCGAAUUUCUGGUUACUAUUCGGUAAAGAAUAUCUGGUAUUGUGCAAGACUGAAUUUGCUAAAUUUCAUGUCACUCUCUUCAAAUAUUCGCUGCUCAUCGGGUAUCUGUUUUAGGCCUUGUUCUCCGGUGAUACGUUUAUUGCUCAACUUCAGAGUUCUCCUUCGCUUCUUACAAGUAUCAUCUCUCUAUUUUGGAGAGUUACAUUUCCCAUGCACUUGGUGUAUCAUUAUGCUACCAUCAAAACAAGUGAUGUCCGGAAUCUUAGUGACAUCAAGGAUGUUGCUAUAUUUAUUCCUGUAGAACCAUGCUGGGAUAAGAGUUGUUAAGAUCUAGAUGGAACCAUUGCUCGAUACAAGAUUAAUUAGGGUAGGAGCUUGCUUUCAAGAGAAACUGCAGUAAAUAGAGAAUAGAAAGAACUUUAUCUCUGACACAAAUUCUUGAAGAAGUCUGCCCAUGUACCUGAUUCUGUUAAAUGGAAUAGAAGUACCUAUGGUUUUUUCUCAGUUGUUGAAGUCCGUUCUUUUCAAAAAAGUACUGGCGCAUCUGGAACAAGAAUUUCGAGGUGUAUUUGGAAGAGCAAAACAACACCAAAGUUAAUUUUCUUGGAGUGGACUACAUGUCAUAAUGACCUAACUCGAGCAAACCUUUCACAUGCUGGUGAAAUCAUAUGCUUAAGAUGUUAGGUGUGCUUAAAGGAAGCUGAAGUCCAUUUGUUCUUCCAUGUAUCAUUGUUUCUUAGCUUUAUUGCAUGUUCUUGGAUUAUAUUAGCCUUAUUGCAUGUUCUUGGAUUAUAGAAGUAACAAUAGCUGGAUGGGCAAGAAAGUAAAGAACAUCUCAGAAACAUAUGGAAUACAAUUCCGACCUGCAUUUUCUAAGUAGUUUUAUGUGCAAUAAAACUUUGUAUUUACCUACCAAAGGAAAAUCAUGAAACUCUUAAGAAUGUGUUGAACACGUGAUUAUAUUUUUUCAGGGAAGUUGACCCAUCACAUAUUUCCUACA